UAAAAGUUGUAAAAAUAUGGAAAAGAUGAUAUAUAUAGUAGAAUAAAAGUUGUAAAAAAGAGGCACGUAGUCCUUGUAGAAUUAAUUUGUGUCCUUCUCUUAUAACAUAUUGUGUGAACAUAAUCCAUUCCAACGACCCUUUCAUGACGACGACACUGAAAUCUACUUUACAUUACCACUCACUACUCAUCACAUAAUUUCCAAUCUUCAUAUUCCUGCCAAAAUCUCCUCUACUACCUUACAAUAUUCACUCAUU
Molecule: long non-coding RNA, 256 nt
Filed under: Vigna radiata
Lineage: Eukaryota; Viridiplantae; Streptophyta; Magnoliopsida; Fabales; Fabaceae
Description: long non-coding RNA (VRAD_LNC007364)
Source: RNAcentral